RNAcentral lists this ribosomal RNA (484 nucleotides) under uncultured bacterium. RNAcentral describes it as "partial 16S ribosomal RNA". It matches the Rfam family "Bacterial small subunit ribosomal RNA", at positions 30 to 507 of the family's 1533-position model. The record is from RNAcentral.
AUUGAACGCUGGCGGCAGGCCUAACACAUGCAAGUCGAGCGGAUGAAGGGAGCUUGCUCCUGGAUUCAGCGGCGGACGGGUGAGUAAUGCCUAGGAAUCUGCCUGGUAGUGGGGGAUAACGUCCGGAAACGGGCGCUAAUACCGCAUACGUCCUGAGGGAGAAAGUGGGGGAUCUUCGGACCUCACGCUAUCAGAUGAGCCUAGGUCGGAUUAGCUAGUUGGUGGGGUAAAGGCCUACCAAGGCGACGAUCCGUAACUGGUCUGAGAGGAUGAUCAGUCACACUGGAACUGAGACACGGUCCAGACUCCUACGGGAGGCAGCAGUGGGGAAUAUUGGACAAUGGGCGAAAGACUGAUCCAGACAUGCCGCGUGUGUGAAGAAGGUCUUCGGAUUGUAAAGCACUUUAAGUUGGGAGGAAGGGCAGUAAGUUAAUACCUUGCUGUUUUGACGUUACCAACAGAAUAAGCACCGGCUAACUUCGUG